This 301-nucleotide ribosomal RNA is filed under the name uncultured bacterium. Its description in RNAcentral is "partial 16S ribosomal RNA". It matches the Rfam family "Bacterial small subunit ribosomal RNA", at positions 509 to 807 of the family's 1533-position model. The record is from RNAcentral.
CAGCCGCCGCGGGAAUACGUAGGUGGCAAGCGUUGUCCGGAACUAUUGGGCGUAAAGGGCUCGCAGGCGGUUUCUUAAGUCUGAUGUGAAAGCCCCCGGCUCAACCGGGGAGGGUCAUUGGAAACUGGGAAACUUGAGUGCAGAAGAGGAGAGUGGAAUUCCACGUGUAGCGGUGAAAUGCGUAGAGAUGUGGAGGAACACCAGUGGCGAAGGCGACUCUCUGGUCUGUAACUGACGCUGAGGAGCGAAAGCGUGGGGAGCGAACAGGAUUAGAUACCCGUGUAGUCCCUGUCUCUUAUAC